GUAGCAUUAAGUUCGUUCUGGGCGUGUCGAAGAAGCAGAUACUCUUGCUUUGUUCCUAAAAUUGAACAAUAACCGUUAGACCGUGGAUUCUGCACAUGGAAUUAUGGAGCGCCUCCAACCACCACGUUACAUAGAAUAACAUCCCCACAUUGUGGAAACAGGUCACUUGGCGUGAGUCCACAUGGACCCAUCACCUACCCUAUACGUGUAACCCUGCAUUUCUCGUGGCUACUCCACCUAGCCUUCGCGCUCCUGGACACUGGGCAAUUUACCACAGCCAAUCCACCGAACCCGCACAUCAUUGGACUGUGGGAGAAAACCAAAGGAUCCGGAGGAAACCCACGCAGACAUUGGGAGAAUGCACAAACUCUACAUAGCCUGAGGCUAGAAUCGAACCCGGGUCCUUGGUGCUGUGAGGCAGCAGUUACUAAUCAAUGAGCCACCAUGCCACCCAUUUAUCACGUUCAGGUGACAGAAUGGGCUGACACAGUUACCAAUAUAAGUGAAGAAGUGACAAAGGAAAGUUCCCUGGACUGACCUAUCCCCUCCCUACCUCCUCACCACCUAUCUUGUUUUCUCUCCAUCUUCGGUCCGCCUCCCCCUCUCUCCCUAUUUAUUCCAGUUCCCUCUCCCCAUCCCCCUCUCUGACGAAGGGUCUAGGCCCGAAACGUCAGCUUUUGUGCUCCUGAGAUGCUGCUGGGCCUGCUGUGUUCAUCCAGCUCCACACUUUGUUAUCUUGGAUUCUCCAGCAUCUGCAGUUCCUAUUAUCAAGGAAAGUUAUACUUUGUUUUAAUUGUUGUGGGAAGCUGUGCAGUCUCCAUGACUUAAAAACCCAAAAAUUGGCAUGUGUAGAAUUGACCAGCAAUUCAUAUAUUACAGUAGCAACAUGUCAUGUUGUACUAUGGUGUAUAUUACGUUUAUGUAUUUAUUUUACAAUGGUGACAUUAUAUCAUCCAACCAGUUUGUUUUAAAAACUCCAUUGCAUUACAUCUUAUUGCUUUAUAAAAAUGAAUUUGGAGAGAUUUAUAAAACCAGGUUAGAAAUAAGAAACAUGUGUAGACCUAACUUUUCACAAUGCAGGACAACUCAAAGACUUUCAGAGUCCUCCAGUGUAGUCAUUGUUAUAAUGAAUGGAUCAACAACCAAUUCGUGCACAGUAAGAAUCUCAAAAGAGCAAAGGUAUAUGACAAGAUAAUCUAUGUCUGCCUAUCUUCAGUUACUCUUAUCAGUAAUCAGAUAAACGUAAAUGUUGAUUUCAUUGUUCAUUUGUUAUUUUGUUAUAGUAGGACUCUCUAGAAACCUGCCACAGUUGUCCAAAUUAAAUGUGCUGGUAUUCCAACUGCACCAUUUCUCACUGUUUACUACUGUAAAUUUGUUUUGGUGUAAAGCACAGACAGAUCAUGUUCGUCACAUAGCACUUGAAUGUUACUUAUUUGCAAAUCCUUUCUCUAGGAUUUACAACAAUAGAUGUGAUUCCUAUAUUGUGUUAGGUGAAAUGUUUUGUAUCCAAUGAAAUCUGUUUUCUCCGUCCAGCUGGUGCAUUUUUCCAUGUGACAAACCAUAUAGGUGGUGACCCUCUGCAUAUCCAUUCUUUGAUAUUAAUGCUGAAGUCAUCAUCUACCUAGGUUCGGCACAGUAACAUUAAUUUGUUCAGGAGGAGCUGCUCUUGAUUCAGAUUUUGUGAGCAAGUCACUAGUCAGAUAAUGAAGUAAGCAACAUGUUACAGAGGCAGAUGUCCCAAAGAUAGGAUUCCUCUAACACAUCCAAAUGUGGAUUACAGGAGUCAGUAUCAGGUAAGGCCUCACCUUAGGUGCAGUUACAUCUGGACUGUAAGGCCUGUCAUAAACAUCUCUUCUUCAUUUUGUUGACACAAUGUAUAGAGUCCACAGGAUUGCAUCAGUCCUUUACUCCUUGUAUAGUGCUGUAUUAAUACAAACAGAAAUAAAAGAAAUGGAAACAAGAA
Molecule: long non-coding RNA, 1963 nt
Organism: Stegostoma tigrinum
Lineage: Eukaryota; Metazoa; Chordata; Chondrichthyes; Orectolobiformes; Stegostomatidae
Exons: 2
Source: RefSeq, a predicted model, not a curated record